This 949-nucleotide ribosomal RNA is filed under the name Acinetobacter sp. dR1-11. RNAcentral describes it as "bacterial SSU rRNA". It matches the Rfam family "Bacterial small subunit ribosomal RNA", at positions 31 to 974 of the family's 1533-position model. The record is from RNAcentral. Lineage: Bacteria; Pseudomonadati; Pseudomonadota; Gammaproteobacteria; Moraxellales; Moraxellaceae.
GACCGUGCGGCAGCUACCAUGCAGUCGAGCGGAUCCUUGUAGCUUGCUGCCUGACCUAGCGGCGGACGGUGGAAUCGUGCUUAUUAAUCCGCCUAUUAUCGGGGAACCUCGUUCCAAAAGGAAUGGUAAUACCGCAUACGCCCUUUUAUCGAAAUUGGGGCAUCUUCGGACCUUGCACUAAUAGAUGACCCUAAGUCAGAUUAGCUAGUUGGUGGGGUAAAGGCCUACCAAGGCGACGAUCUGUAGCGGGUCUGAAAGGACGAUCCGCCACACUGGGACUGACACACGGCCCAAACUCCUACGGGAGGCAGCAGUGGGGAAUAUUGCACGAUGGGCGAAAGCCUGAUCCCUCCAUGCCGCGUGUGUGAAUAACGCCUUUUGAUUGUAAAGCACUUUAAGCGAGGAGGACGCUACUUGUACUAAUACUCUAGGAUAGUGGACGUUACUCGCAUAAUAAGCACCGGCUAACUCUGUGCCAGCAGCCGCGGUAAUACAGAGGGUGCGAGCGUUAAUCGGAUUUACUGGCCGUAAUGCGUGUGUAUUCGACUUCUUAAGUCUUAUGUGAAAUCCCUGAACUUAACUUACCAAUUGCAUUCGAUACUGUCAAACUAGAGUAUGGGAGAGGAUGUGACAAUUCCAAGUGUAUGGGUGAAUUGCGUAGAUGUCUGGAGGAAUACCGAUGAGCAAACCAGCCUUCUGGCCUAAUACUGACACUGAGGUACGAAAGCAUGCUAGAGCAAACAGGAUUAUGUACGUCUGGUAAUCCAUGCCGUAAACUAUGUCUACUAGCUGGGUGGGGCCUUUGAGGCUUUUAGUAGCCCAACUAACUUGAAUAAGUACACCCGCCUGGGGAGUACGGUCGCAAGACUAACACUCAAACGAGUUGACGCCUUGCCCCCACAAGACGUGGAUGAAGUGGUUUAAUUCUGUGCAUCGCCCAUAAACUUAU